GCAUACUGACAUGUCAUG
This 18-nucleotide non-coding RNA is filed under the name Arabidopsis thaliana (thale cress). Lineage: Eukaryota; Viridiplantae; Streptophyta; Magnoliopsida; Brassicales; Brassicaceae. The record is from RNAcentral.